RNAcentral lists this ribosomal RNA (253 nucleotides) under uncultured bacterium. RNAcentral's name for it is "partial 16S ribosomal RNA". It matches the Rfam family "Bacterial small subunit ribosomal RNA", at positions 524 to 776 of the family's 1533-position model. The record is from RNAcentral.
UACAGAGGUCUCAAGCGUUGUUCGGAUUCAUUGGGCGUAAAGGGUGCGUAGGCGGCGCGGUAAGUCGGGUGUGAAAUCUCGGAGCUUAACUCCGAAACUGCAUUCGAUACUGCCGUGCUUGAGGACUGGAGAGGAGACUGGAAUUUACGGUGUAGCGGUGAAAUGCGUAGAUAUUCGCAAGAACACCAGUGGCGAAGGCGGCUCACUGGCCCGGUACUGACGCUGAGGUGCGAAAGCGUGGGGAGCAAACAGG